GACGAACGCUGGCGGCGCGCCUAACACAUGCAAGUCGAACGAGCGAGAGAGAGCUUGCUUUCUCGAGCGAGUGGCGAACGGGUGAGUAACGCGUGAGGAACCUGCCUCAAAGAGGGGGACAACAGUUGGAAACGACUGCUAAUACCGCAUAAGCCCACGGGUCGGCAUCGACCAGAGGGAAAAGGAGCAAUCCGCUUUGAGAUGGCCUCGCGUCCGAUUAGCUAGUUGGUGAGGUAACGGCCCACCAAGGCAACGAUCGGUAGCCGGACUGAGAGGUUGAACGGCCACAUUGGGACUGAGACACGGCCCAGACUCCUACGGGAGGCAGCAGUGGGGAAUAUUGCACAAUGGGGGAAACCCUGAUGCAGCGACGCCGCGUGGAGGAAGAAGGUCUUCGGAUUGUAAACUCCUGUUGUUGAGGAAGAUAAUGAC
This 432-nucleotide ribosomal RNA is filed under the name uncultured bacterium. RNAcentral describes it as "bacterial SSU rRNA". It matches the Rfam family "Bacterial small subunit ribosomal RNA", at positions 28 to 455 of the family's 1533-position model. The record is from RNAcentral.